CCUACGGGAGGCAGCAGUGGGGAAUCUUGCGCAAUGGGCGAAAGCCUGACGCAGCGACGCCGCGUGCGGGAAGAAGGCCUUCGGGUUGUAAACCGCUUUCAGGAGGGACGAAGCCACUCGGGUGAAUAGCCUAGAGGGUGACGGUACCUCCAGAAGAAGCCCCGGCUAACUACGUGCCAGCAGCCGCGGUAAU
This 193-nucleotide ribosomal RNA is filed under the name uncultured Actinomycetes bacterium. Its description in RNAcentral is "uncultured actinobacterium partial 16S ribosomal RNA". It matches the Rfam family "Bacterial small subunit ribosomal RNA", at positions 338 to 524 of the family's 1533-position model. Lineage: Bacteria; Bacillati; Actinomycetota; Actinomycetes. The record is from RNAcentral.